RNAcentral lists this long non-coding RNA (1389 nucleotides) under Olea europaea subsp. europaea. Lineage: Eukaryota; Viridiplantae; Streptophyta; Magnoliopsida; Lamiales; Oleaceae. The record is from RNAcentral.
UUUAAAUUGUGAAUUUUCUGAUAAGUAGUGUACGAUAAAAUAGCCAGUAUAUAACAAAGACAAUAAAAUCUCCGAAAUUGCUCUGUGAAAUCCUCUUUUUUUGUGAGUUCGCUAAGUGGGAUAAUUUAACAUCCAUUGAAUGUCACUUGUGAAUUUUAUCUCCCACGUAGUAGUUCUAUUAAAUUCAAUGAACGGAAUCGUAGGAAAUAAUUGAUGUGGAGCAUUUUCAAAGUUCGAUGACCUUCGGACAACAUUUUACAGUUCAGCUUAAACCCACGAGCACGAUCUAAAGCUCAAGAGGACAAUUACUUUUGUGAUUAGAAAUCUCGGUGACUUCCGAUAUAAUAACAACAAUUGCUUAUAACGUCCUCUCUCGUCAUCAGACCAAUUGCCACCAGUACCGCCGACUCCCUCCAUCAGCUCCACUCUCCAGAUAUCCGCAGUCGCACGACCACCCGCCAAAACCCUACCCAAGCGACUCGUCCGUAAAUCCCGCCUCACGAAGCGAAAAUCCCUGGCCGGCGAUAAUAACGAUGGAUAGGAGAACGGCAAUUUGUUUUUAACUGAUGGAGGGGGUUUAUUGAUAUAAUUGAUGGUGGUUAUUUUGGGUGUGGUGGGAGUGGUGGAUGGGGUAAUGGGGGCAAAGGAUGGAAAUUGGAGGGGUAUGGGGGGGGGGGGGCAAAUUGGGGAGAAUUGUCGAUUAAUUCAUAUUACGAUCCAGUUUUUGAGUUCGUUUACGCGGUAUUGAGUUGGAUUGCACUGUCAUAUUGCUUGCAUUUUGCGUCCAAGAAAGUGGUGAGGAUCGUUGUUUGUGGCUGAUAGGUUGGGUGAUUCAGCUAGGAAAAUGGUUCUGAUCCAAUUGAUUCAGUCUGCUAAAUGGUAAAAAUUGAUUACUCCAAAGUAUGUUUUCAUCUUGAUAUGUAAAAUGUAUUGCCUUUUAUUUUUCUUAGCUUGACAAAUUAAUGUAAAUAAUGAUGUGGAUCACAUUCAUCCGUGAAUAAUGAUAAAACUACUGUAUAUACGGUAUAUUUGUUGAUGGAUUUGUGAAAGUCUAUUUAUUUCAUGGAGGUUGCUAUAUAUACAUAGCCGGCGCCCCCUCCAAUAGGGGGCCAUCGGGUGUCCAUUUUGGACACCCUUAUGUACACGGUUGUGUACAACAAGAAUAAUCCUUAUUUCAAAUAGCAGACUUGAUAAGUUCUGUGUUUGAGUCUGUGUUUUAUUAUAUAGUUUCAGAUUGUAAAUUAUUUUUUGUUAAUUGAACGGGCAUUUUAAAGUGUGCACACGUCGGUUCAGUGUUCAUCUGGGGACUUAAAUGUUAAAACUUGGGCUUUGAGUACCCUUGUCAAAACUUAAUGGUGACCUACUGAUGCUCAGGUCAUUUAACAUGCG